This 428-nucleotide long non-coding RNA is filed under the name Pan troglodytes (chimpanzee). Its description in RNAcentral is "long non-coding RNA NONPTRT014163". The record is from RNAcentral. Lineage: Eukaryota; Metazoa; Chordata; Mammalia; Primates; Hominidae.
GAGGAAGUGAGCUGCCAUGUACUAGGCCACGUGGCAAGGGCCUGGUUGGGGACCUCCAGGAGUUGAGAGCAUCCUCUGGACAACAUGGAAAAAGAAAAUGAAAAUGGUGACCUCAGCCCUAUAGCUAGAAGGAAUUGAAUCCUGUCAACAACGAUCCUCAUCACUCAAUGCAGAUGUUACUUUAAGACAUUCUGGAGCAGCGUCAUGUGCAGGAGAAAAUAGUAUCAUCUCAGCCUUCUAUGAAAUCAAGGCAAUAUUCAUGUGAAAGUAUAUUCCAAACCCAGAACCUGAGCACAGAUUGGGACUGAGAAACACUUGUCUAGAUUGUCAGGCAAUCUGUAACAUCAGCAGUGGAUGGAAAGAAGGAGAAAGAUGAGUUUUAUGGAUGCUAACCCAUCUAUAUGGCUUUGGAAAAUAAAGUACUGCUG